Molecule: long non-coding RNA, 356 nt
Organism: Diceros bicornis minor
Lineage: Eukaryota; Metazoa; Chordata; Mammalia; Perissodactyla; Rhinocerotidae
Exons: 3
Source: RefSeq, a predicted model, not a curated record
AUGAAUGAGACUCUUCUUUCAUCUCUGCCCAAAGAGAAGAUGCUACCAGAAGCCUGAAUUCCUUACCGGAUAUUGAACCAUCCUUGCAUCCCAGGGAGCAAUGGUUUCUUUUAAAUAUGGUCUGGAACUAGAUGUGGGUCUAGAAUUAGAAUCCAGUUCUUCCACAUAUAAAGCAAGCUGUCUGAGAGAGAAACUUCCAGUAAUUCAUCUCAUUAAAGAAAUAUGGAAGAUGUAGAAAGACUAAAAGAAGGAAUAAAAAUCACCCAUAAUCCCACCACUGAAGAAAACUACUAUUAAUAUUUGGCUAUUCCUUACACUCUUUCAGAAAGAAUAAAGAAAUCUUUUUCUUACCAGUA